Molecule: long non-coding RNA, 496 nt
Organism: Gorilla gorilla gorilla (western lowland gorilla)
Lineage: Eukaryota; Metazoa; Chordata; Mammalia; Primates; Hominidae
Exons: 4
Source: RefSeq, a predicted model, not a curated record
GGCGGCUCUACAGCAACACAGGUUUAUCGAACAAACACCCGCGGAGGAGGACACCAGCUAGCGCCAGAGCCCGCCCCCGCUUACAGACUGGGAUUUCUCUUAUUCACCAUAUCUUCAGUGCCCAGCAUUAUUCCUGGAAUAUUCAAUAAGAUCUGUUUGCAGUGAAGGAUUGUUUGGAUGAAUCAUUGUAUCAGGGCUUCAACCACGUGGGAGGAUCUGGGAACAGCUCCUUGAUUGGCACUUCAAAUAUCCCUCAUCAGCUCCACCAUGGCUUGAAUUCUGCUGAAGAACGCAGGUGUUCCAAGUUGGAGUACUCUGCUACAUUUUACAUAUCUGCUUUUUGAGGAAUAAAUACCAGAAAGAAGUGGCCUACAUAAAUCCAAAUGGCUUUAGACAUUUCAAGUACUGGAAAACAAGAUUAUAACUAUUUAUGAAGAAAUGGAACAUCCUUGCUGAAAUCAUCCUGCAACAAGUUGUGCUUUCAUUUAUAAUUGAA